UUUAGGCAGUUUUAAGUCUAUCGUGAAUCAUCUUUACCUUAUCCAUGGCUUGGUGAACCAAAUCUGGGCCAAACAUAUCUUCCUCACCAACCUCAAACCACCUAAUAAGAGACCUAUAUCGCCUACCAUACAAAGCCUUAAAUGGAGCUAUCCCAAUGUUAGAGUGGUAGCUCCUAUUCUACGCAAACCUUAUAAGAGGUAAAUGUUCAACCCAACUACCACCA
Molecule: long non-coding RNA, 224 nt
Filed under: Capsicum annuum
Lineage: Eukaryota; Viridiplantae; Streptophyta; Magnoliopsida; Solanales; Solanaceae
Description: long non-coding RNA (CANN_LNC000953)
Source: RNAcentral